This is a long non-coding RNA of Caretta caretta (loggerhead turtle), 4796 nucleotides long. RefSeq lists it as uncharacterized. The record is from RefSeq and is a predicted model, not a curated record. NCBI's taxonomy places the organism in Eukaryota, Metazoa, Chordata, Testudines, Cheloniidae.
GUCCACUCCCCAAUCUGAUGGGAAAGAACAUUCUGUGGAGUGUUAUAUUCUGCCAUAUGCAGGGUAAAGUCCUAUUAGGUCAGUGCCCUGUGGCACCAGGCUCCAGUAUGCUGGUUCCUUUGGGGUGAAGGCAGUGGAUAAGUCCCUCUGUCCUGUGCUGUGUUGCUGUUUGGGAGAGAUGAUGUGACUCAGCAUUGGCUGAAACAUGAAAGCAAAGCAGGUCCAACGAGAACAGGUUCAUUUUCUUUGCUGAUGGUUGGUGAAUUUGGCAAUUCUGUGCUCAUUUGAUUUACCGGCCUUGGAGGUGAGCUGCGAUGUCCAUAAAGUAGAUCAGAACUGUAGCAAUUUCACCAUGAAAUAAAAUUCAGACGCUCUGUUUAAUCACAGCAUCCAACUGUUUCCUUUUCUCGCCGAAGGGGCUGGCUUUUUGGCUCAUUAUGUGACUGGAACAUGAAGGCUGUGAGGCUGACAAGGAGAGGAAACUCUGUCUCAGCACUUUCCAAUACCCAGCCCCCAACUGGCUUCCUCCCCCACCCCCCAACCUCAAUCCCCCAGCGUUUGCUGCAGAACACUGUCUGCUGCCUAGCAACAGCACCGUGGGCGAUGUCGCAAGGACUCGGACUGUGAAAGGGGAAUAAACAACAGUUCCUGGAUUUGUCUAGGGUUGCAGCUGUGGGAGGCUCAUUGGCCUACCAGCAUCUGUUGGAGAUAUUUUCAGAAACCAGGCUAAUAUACAAAAGACUCCGACUGCAACAUUAAUGAUAAACUCUGUGCUUCUGAUGGGUUUGAAUUUUUCUCUGCAUAGCCAGUGCUCAAUGCCUGACUAGUAGCUGCAACCUGAGAACCCAUUGCUGAAACCUAAACAAAACCUUUGGUGUCAAAAGCAGUUUUGGAAAUAGGAAAUAUUAACCCAGCUCCAGGUAGUAUUAAAAGUCCCGUAUAAAGACAGCAGACAUGUCACAAGAUCUGCAUUUCACCAAACACAAGGGUCUGGACUAGGGUUACCAACUUUGUGAUAUUUAAAAAACGGACACUCCAGCAGUGCAAGAACCUCCCCUGCCCCGCCUCUUUGCCAAGGCCCCACCUCCGUUCGCUCCUCUUCUCCCAUCCCCCUGCCGCUCGCUGCUCAUAGAUUCAUAGAUAUUAAGGUCAGAAGGGACCAUUAUGAUCAUCUGCUCUUCCCCUCUCCAUCUUCUCCCAACCCACCUGGUUUGGGAGGGACUCACCUCCGGAGCUGGGACUGGGAGCUGCAGCUGCCUGACGCAGCUUUGGGCACUAUGGCUUACUGCUGAGACAUUAAAAUCAUUACAGGUCACUGAAGGACAAUGGAGCUAUUUACACCAGGUGCCAUGCUUUCUUCCAUGCUGCGUCUCAAGCAAGGAACCUUCUAAUCCCAGUGCAAAAGAUCCUUCUCUUCUCAUUCAAGACUCACCUCUUCAGUGAGUCCGACACAUUAACCGAUGCCAAUUGUUGCCUUCUUCCCCCUAUUUAUAGUGGAGUGAAAGACAGAAUGGAAAAAUGGAUGACUCCAGGAAGAAGAAAAAAGCCACAGAAAACACUGACACUACGCCCCAUAUUCUUUAUAGAGAUAUUGUUAUGAUAUGAUUAUGGCAUAGCUAUGAUAUAUUUUAUGCAAGAUAGGUCAUGUAAGAUAUCAUUGAAAAGGUUAUGAUUCAUUAAAUAUGAUUGUCCUAUUUGUAUGCAUGUAUCAUUUUGGUAUCUGAAUUUAGGAAUAUUGUCUAUGCAUCUAUUACAAAUGUGUGUGUAAUCAGUCUAGACGGCUGGCUGGGAAGGGCCAUUAGGAAGAACAAUAAGUCUUAGAAGAUGCUAAUCUCCUACCCGGGAGCCUUCCUGAGGAUGCUACAAAUAGCCUCCAAAUCAUGGCUGCUGUUUCCCUACAGGGGCAUGUGACCAAGUCACAUGGUACUGGACUCCAUCAUAGAAUACCAGUGUUCUUUUCCACUGAAAGGCGUGGGAACCAAGCUGGGAGAGAAAGGGUUCCCACCAUAUGCAAAAGCUAUUUAAGGCAGUGGAGUGACAUCAUCAUAGUUCUUCACUGACUCCCCACCCAAAGGAGACUCCUGGAAACACCUGAGAAGCAAGGAUUGAACUGGGGGAAAAGGGCUGAACCCAGACUAGAGGGAUUUCUAGCUUGUGAAAGGAAUAUCUGGGGUUUUAAGCUGCAAUCAAGUACAGCUUGCCCUCAAGAAUCUCUGCAAACUGCCUGAACCAACAAUUAGAGUGAGAAUUUGCUACUCAUAUCCAAUUUCUUUAGUAUAUUAAGCUUAGAUUGCAUUUUUGUGUUAUUUGCUAGGUAAUCUGCUUUGAUUUGUUUGCUAUCCUGUAUAAUCAUUUAAAAUCUAUCCUUUAUAGUUAAUGAUCUUUGUUUUUGUUUUGUCUAAAACCAGUGUGUGAAAAUCAUAAUGGGGGGGGGGGCAGCGCAGAAAGCUGUUGCAUAUUUUCCUCCACAUUGAGGGAGGGGGCGAAUUUCAUGAGCUUACGCUGUACAGUCCCCUGUGCAGCGCAAGAUGGCAAGAUGGUAUAAUUUGGGUUUACACUCCAAAGGGGGGUGCAUGCAUUAGGAACUGGCAGGUGCCUUAGCUGAGCCUUCCUAUGCAGAGCUGAUCUCAGCAUCUAUGUGUAGCUGCAGCUGGGUGUGUCCCUACCUGUAUGUGUGCUGGAGGGGAUUUGAGGGCCUGUCACAGCAGUACAGUGUAAAGGGAGCCCAGGCUGGUGAGUCAGGCAAGCUCAGUAGUACCCCAGUUCCAGGCGGCAUCCUGGGAGGAACCUGUCACAAACACAUUCUAAGGUACCACUUAUUCUAGGUCUACUAGUGUGUUGUGUCUUGUCUUGUCUGUGUUUGCCUUUUAAGCUGUAAAUUCCUUGAAUUGUAUCUCUGCUUUACACAGUGCAGAGACGUGACCAGAGCUUAGCAUAUAAUCAUGCUACCAAGCUGUGUCUUUGAGGUCCUAAUUAUAAUUGCUUUACUUUUAAAUUUAGUUUUUAGCAAUAACCAACACUAUUCAUGUUUGUGUAGCACCUGGCACAUUGGGGCCCUGAUCUUAGCUGAAGCCUACACUCAUGGAAUGCAAAUAGUGAUAAUAAUCAUAUUGUUAUUUUUCUUGCCAUUUCUCAGUCUUCUACAUUGCAUGAAAAAGAAAUGGGACAGUAACGCAGUGUAUCAAUGGUUCUCAUUUAUGUUUGAUAUAGUAUCACAUCCAGAAAAUGUUUCUCUUGAACUUGAGUUUACUACAUUAUUUUUUGUUUCAGUGCCUUUUAGCAGAGGUGACAGUUCAACACCAGCCAGGUCUCUUCCAUAACAGUGGAAUUGGAUAUCACGACAUAAGAACAUAAGAGCAGCCAUACUGGGUCAGACCAAAGGUCCAUCUCGCCCAGUAUCCUGUCUUCCAACAGUGGCCAAUGCCAGGUGCCCCAGAGGGAAUGAACAGAACGAGUAAUCAUCAAGUGAUCCAUUCCCUGUCUCCCAUUCCCAGCUUCUGGCAAACAGAGGUUAGGGACACCAUCCCUGCCCAUCGAUGGCCCUAUCCUCUAUGGAUUUAUCUAGUUCUUUUUUGAACCCUUUUUUUGUUGUUACCUUUCUUUAUGACAGAAGUUCUUUGGAUUCUCCUCUUUUCCUUAAUCAUCUCUCUCUCUCUCUCAGAGCAGUAUCAUCACAAUUUCCCUUGCAAGUUGUCAUUACCUUUGUAAUCUGUUGUGGACUCUCUGAGGUUAUUUAAUAAAUGGUAAAUUUCCACUUGUCAUUUUCAUCACCUGUCAUAGUGGAAGUAUAGCUCUACAUAAUGGUUGGGCUAGCUGGAGUGUUAAUUGAAGGAGGCUUUAGGUAAAUCAUUGUGGGCCAAAUAUAACCUGUAAGCAAACACAAUUCUGUUAACAUCAGUUGGCCAUUCAUGAUAUUGUGGAUGUAGUAGAAUCUUUAUUUGAAAGUAUGUCACUGACCGAUAUAUUUUCUCUCUCAUCGUGCAUUAUUCCCUGUCUUUCAAGGAUGCCAGUUGAUAGAACUUGAGAAAGCUCCUUCUGUUCUGUAUAGUUUCUUAUACAAUACUCAUCACCGUAGAAUUUGAGUGCCUUCCACUAAGCAAUGUGACUAUACAUCUGCUACGUGUUGUCUGGUCUCUCAUCCUCUUGCAGGAGUAGAAGCAAUUGCAAUGUAGUGUCCAUGUAUCAUCCGUGAAUGUCAGUAUUUGAGAAACGUGUCGCUUGAGCUAGAAGCUGCAAUGUAUCCAUUCGAUUUAAUGAUGUUCUAACUUCCAAAGCACUCUUCAAACAAAGCAUGGUUGUUUUCUAGCUAACCGUAUGAGAAGUUCAUAUCUAACCAGCCUAUAUUGUCUUCUUGAGAGAUGGUGGUAAAGGCUCUUCUAAGAAUAAGAUAAUUAAGUGGGUUGCUAAGGGGCCUGAAAUUUACCAUACUUCUUUAUUUAAAAUAUCAAGAAUGAGACUGGGCUUAUAUGCAGAACACUGACACUGCCCUGUGAGGAAAAUGGAAAUUACUCUGAGUUUGUGAUGAAACAUACGUUUUUCUUCUUGCUAAUCAUUAACUAUUCAGUCACAUAUGAGUAUUGCUAAUCCUAUUUGAGAACAAAAAAUGAAUUAUUGGCUACUAGAGCUGGCUGACUAGAACAAAGAGGGACUGAUACAUAUUUUCACGAAUAAUUGUGGCGAGUUCACUUUGCUUUUAAUUAAUUUGUUUACGAGUUGUUCAUAUGAUUAUUGGUUUAUUUGUGAAAAUGUUUGGGAGUCACAAAAGAUUAAUGAAUGAUGAUUCAUUGUAAAAUUUA